CAUAUACCCCAUCCGUCCCAAAAUUCUUGUGUUAAAUCUGUCUAGAUAUGAAUGUAUCUAGUCAUGUUUUAGUAUUUAAAUACAUUUAUUUCUAGACAAACCUAAGACAAGAAUUUUGGGACGGAGGGAGUACUAU
RNAcentral lists this microRNA precursor (136 nucleotides) under Hordeum vulgare. Its description in RNAcentral is "microRNA MIR1122". It matches the Rfam family "MIR1120/MIR1122 microRNA precursor family". The record is from RNAcentral. Lineage: Eukaryota; Viridiplantae; Streptophyta; Magnoliopsida; Poales; Poaceae.